Molecule: transfer RNA, 72 nt
Filed under: Camelus bactrianus (Bactrian camel)
Lineage: Eukaryota; Metazoa; Chordata; Mammalia; Artiodactyla; Camelidae
Also listed under: 2 other names
Rfam family: tRNA
About the family: Transfer RNA (tRNA) molecules are approximately 80 nucleotides in length. Their secondary structure includes four short double-helical elements and three loops (D, anti-codon, and T loops).
Source: Rfam by way of RNAcentral
GAGGGUAUAGCUCAGGGGUAGAGUGCAUGCCUAGCAUGCAUAAGGUCCUGGGUUCAAUCCCCAGUACCUCUA